Molecule: long non-coding RNA, 2196 nt
Organism: Siniperca chuatsi (mandarin fish)
Lineage: Eukaryota; Metazoa; Chordata; Actinopteri; Centrarchiformes; Sinipercidae
Exons: 2
Source: RefSeq, a predicted model, not a curated record
ACAGCUUUUCAGUUAGCAACCAUGGUUGAUGUCGGAAACAUAAUGUGUCAGUAUCACUUUUCCCCUUAUUUUUUAAUCUUGAAGAAACAAACAUUUUAUGUUCACCAGGAAGAUAAUUAAACCCAUGUUUCACAGAGUGGAAUACAGGUCAAGUAGUCCUGGAAAAUAAUACUUAAAAUCAACUUUCUUGGAGUACCAGGGUUUGCAUCAUAGAACAACAUAAGAAAGAAUAUUCUUUGUACUCAGGGCAGAAUACUGUUUCCAGUCCUUCAACUUAACCUGAUACAAAGUGAAUUACAUUGAGAAUAUAAAGUAAACCCUCUAAUCUGGAACUCCAUGUAGUUUGAUCCAGUAUUUAUUAUUUGCAAAUAUUAUUUCACCCAGGUCUUUACAGAUUUGGAGUGACUUGAACUUCCAGAUGUGGUUCUGCUCAGUCGCCUGUCUCUGGCCAGUCCCUCCACACAGAUGCUCCAACAUCUACCCGUAUCCUUACCUUAUCGAUUACACAGGUAUCCCGUGCAUCACCUAGUAGAAGCUUUUUCCUUUUUUUGUGUGUGUGGAUUGGCAAUAAGUACUCAUGAAGAGAGUUUCCAGCAAAUAGUUUUAGGAAAUGAUUUACAUUCUUAAAAGCAUGUGGGUGAGGCAUUCAGUUUGUAUCUUGAUAUUAACCCUAUAUUAACUUUUACGUAGGAAAGUGCCAGUAGCGACUGACCUCUGACUGAGUCAUAAUCACAAUGUGAACACAUUGAUAUCUUUCAGACUUUUGUUAUAGUUAAUGAGGAGAGUUUCAUCUUGAGUUUGAGUUAAGUCUCAGCAUGUCUGAGAGCAGUAACUUAAGACAGAAUGAACUUUAGAAAAGGGUUUUUUAAAGUUGUUAGGCUGGUUAGCCAAACUUUGUAACAAUGGAUAAAUUGUAAAUUUAAUUAUUUUACACUCUUUUUAGACAAUUUUAAGGGUGCAGGAAAAAACAUUUAGGGGGUCAUGGCCUCAGAUGGAAGUUACAGCUCUGCUAAGCUAGGCUAGUAAUCUUUUAGCAGGACUGUUAUUUUAACUUAGUUUUAGUUAAAUUUAGUUAAAUGUAGCUUUAGCUAAGGCUAGCUAUCGCACCAGCUAGCUUUAACUUAAUGUUUUUUUUUUUUGUGUAGUUUUGCAAACUUUACAUGCUGUUUUUUCUGAAAUUAUGUGUUUCUAUGGCAUAAUAAUAUUUUAUAUGGAAAACAAAAUCUGAUUCUGGUGUUAACCGUGUGACCAAAUAUGUUGUUGCAUCUUGGCUUUGUAGGGCAGAUGUAAUGCAGCACUUCCUGCAGAUUUCUUAACUUGCCUUAACAAACUGUGUAUGUGUGGAAAUAUUUUCAAUAAUUGCUUGAGACCUAAUUCAGAGAUCUGCCUAGCACCACAGUGUCUUAAUCACACUCUCUGUCCUUUAGCUCCUCUCUGUAGCUGUACUUGCAGAUGCAAGAAAUGAUUUCACACCAGGGUGCAUGUUCUCUGUUUUCAUAGGAAACUUGAGCUAUGGCAGAACGGAAAUGUUGUUCGAAUCCUUGAACACACUUAACCAUACAGUACAACAAAGGCAAAGUGCAAAAUUUGCAACUUAUUUGUUUCAAGCAAAGGUGGAAAUGUUGUGUAUAUGCUUACACACUUGUUGGCGAUGCAUGUCAUUAAAUUACAGAAAUGCAAUGUUUCUAAUAGCUUAUAGGCGAGUGCUGCAUGCCCUCAAGCUAGUGCAACUACAUCUGUUACCUCUGGAAAAAUCUCUUUCUAAUCUAAUGUUUAGGACCACAGACUAAGGCUUAGCAGAGCAUUUUUCUACUUAUGAAAUCAGAAUAAGAAACCCUAAAUUAAGAAAUUUUGAAAUCACAUUGAAAUAUUUGAUAAUUUCAUCCACUUUAGAUAAUAUUAGUCUGGCUCAUGCUACAACAUGUAGUUGUCUCUUUAUCCAACACAACAGUAAUGAUCGAUAAUGGAAACACUUAACUGGUUUAUCAACAGAACUGCUAAAAUCAUUUUAAUGUCCAUCCUUGCUAGUAUUUAAUUAAUAUAACUGCUUUAUGUAUCAGUUAAUUUUUCCCAGCAGCUGUGAAUUUUCACUUAACUCUUGUAGUUUGCUUCCAUUUAACACAUUACAUACAUUUACAUGUUGUACAGUAGGUUGUUGAACACAGAAUAUGUACUUUCUGUGCCUGUGAUUUAAAA